UACGAAGGGGGCUAGCGUUGUUCGGAAUUACUGGGCGUAAAGGGCGCGUAGGCGGCGUGUCAAGUCAGGCGUGAAAGCCCCGGGCUCAACCUGGGAACCGCGCUUGAGACUGGCAUGCUCGAGUUCGGGAGAGGAUGGUGGAAUUCCCAGUGUAGAGGUGAGAUUCGUAGAUAUUGGGAAGAACACCGAUGGCGAAGGCAGCCAUCUGGACCGACACUGACGCUGAGGCGCGAAAGCGUGGGGAGCAAACAGG
This 253-nucleotide ribosomal RNA is filed under the name uncultured bacterium. RNAcentral's name for it is "partial 16S ribosomal RNA". It matches the Rfam family "Bacterial small subunit ribosomal RNA", at positions 524 to 776 of the family's 1533-position model. The record is from RNAcentral.